Molecule: non-coding RNA, 66 nt
Organism: Pangasianodon gigas (Mekong giant catfish)
Lineage: Eukaryota; Metazoa; Chordata; Actinopteri; Siluriformes; Pangasiidae
Source: the annotation of a GenBank genome assembly
GACACGGUGGCUUAGUGGUUAGCACCUCGCACCUCUGGGGUUGGGGUUCGAUUCCCACCUCUGCCC